Molecule: ribosomal RNA, 287 nt
Filed under: uncultured bacterium
Lineage: Bacteria
Description: partial 16S ribosomal RNA
Rfam family: Bacterial small subunit ribosomal RNA
Source: RNAcentral
UAGGGGUGGGAACGGUUGUCCGGUAUUAUUGGGCGUAAAGCGCGCGCAGGCGGUCUCUUAAGUCUGAUGUGAAAGCCCACGGCUCAACCGUGGAGGGUCAUUGGAAACUGGGGGACUUGAGUACUGGAGAGGAGAGUGGAAUUCCAUGUGUAGCGGUGAAAUGCGUAGAUAUAUGGAGGAACACCAGUGGCGAAGGCGGCUCUCUGGCCAGUAACUGACGCUGAGGCGCGAAAGCGUGGGGAGCAAACAGGAUUAGAUACCCUGGUAGUCCACGCCGUAAACGAUGA